Molecule: ribosomal RNA, 2125 nt
Filed under: Candidatus Shapirobacteria bacterium CG11_big_fil_rev_8_21_14_0_20_40_12
Lineage: Bacteria; Candidatus Shapironibacteriota
Description: bacterial SSU rRNA
Rfam family: Bacterial small subunit ribosomal RNA (bases 1-645)
Source: RNAcentral
GAGUAAAGCGAGUAACUUCGCGUUGAGGGAGGAGCCUGUGUCCUAUCAGCUUGUUGGUAGGGUAACGGCCUACCAAGGCAGUGACGGGUAGCUGGACUGAGAGGUUGGUCAGCCACAGGGGGACUGAGACACGGCCCCCACAUCUACGGAUGGCAGCAACUAGGAAUAUUCCACAAUGGACGAAAGUCUGAUGGAGCGACACCGCGUGAAGGAUGAAGGCCCUCGGGUCGUAAACUUCUUUUGUUCCGCAUUACGCGGAAAGAAUAAACACCUACUAACUACGUGCCAGCAGUCGCGGUAAUACGUAGGGUGUAAGCGUUAUCCGGAUUUAUUGGGCGUAAAGCGUUUCGUAGGCGGGUUUCCGCAUCUUGUUUCAAAUACUUUGGCUCAACCAAAGACAGGGGCAAGAGAUGGGAUACCUGGAGAUUAGUCGGGGAUGUUGGAAUUCAUGGUGGAGCAGUGAAAUGCGUUGAUAUCAUGAAGAACACCAAGGGUGAAGGCGAACAUCUAGGCUUAUUCUGACGCUGAGGAACGAAAGCUAGGGGAGCGAAAGGGAUAAACAUACUAGUCCCUCCCGAUGGUGACAUCGGGAUAAAAAUUGGCUAUAUCGGUGAAACUCCUCGUUGAUUUUGGGUUAUCUUCGGUGAUAAACUAAAAAUAAUGAGGACAAUACCGAGGGAAGUUUGCUCAAGUUUGGAUAAAACAUUAUUCAAACUAAACGAAAUUCAAAAACAAGUAUUAAUAGGAACAUUACUGGGAGAUGGUGGAUUGAGGUUUAGGGGUAAAAAUUGUAGAUUACAUAUUAAACAUUCAAUCAACCAAAUUUCUUUAGUAAAUUAUAAAAGAGAGGUGUUUAAAAAUAUAACUUCGAUGAAAGUUAAUGUAUUUAAACAAACAAUUGGUGGAACCGACUACAGUUUUGCCGAGUUUGUAACAUUAACCCAUCCGGAGUUUACAAAAUACUAUAAUCUCUUUUAUCCGUCUUCCAAGAAAGUUGUUCCGGAAAGUAUAAAUUAUCUAUUAGUUAAACCUCUUAGUUUAGCUGUUUGGGUAAUGGAUGAUGGUUCUGCAGAGUAUGCGGGAACCUCACUCCAAACCCACAGUUUUACAGAAGGUGAAGUAAAAAGACUAAUAAAGACAAUUUUUUUGAAUUUCGGAAUAGAAACAAAUAAAAGGUUGAACAAAGGGAAGUGGGUUAUUUAUUUUCCUAAGGCAAGCAUGCCAAAGCUGGAAAAAUUAAUUGGCAGUUAUUUGCUGGAAGAUUUUAAGUAUAAACUUGUUCCUUAUUCAACUCGUAAAAGCAUAACCCCGUAGAGACUGUACGCCAGGUCCCGAUGUAACAUCGGGAUAUGAUACAGUCCGAUCUGUAUGGUAACAUACAGAGUUUGGUAGAAAUAACCAAACCGUCCCGCCGAUUCGGUGGGGUAGUAACAAUAUGUAGAGACCCCUGUAGUCCUAGCCGUAAACGAUGCCUGCUAGCUGGUCCUCCCGAUUUAUCGGGGGGGGUGGCGUAAGCUAACGCGUUAAGCAGGCCGCCUGGGGAGUACGGCCGCAAGGUUGAAACUCAAAGGAAUUGACGGGGACUCGCACAACCANNNNNNNNNNNNNNNNNNNNNNNNNNNNNNNNNNNNNNNNNNNNNNCUGUCGUCAGCUCUAGGCGUGAGCUGUAGGCUUAAGUGCCUCAUAGAGCGCAACCCCUAUCUUGUGUUAAAUAAUCACAAGAGACUGCUCCCACUCUUUUGAACUUCACGGUUCAAAAGAAAUUCGAAGCACUAAGAUCGAAAUCUUUUGGGGUGAGGUUGAGAAGUGAGAAAUGAGUCGGGAAAUGAGAGUGAGAAGUGAGUAAGAAAAUAUACUCACCCUCACUUCCCAUCCUCGACACACAUCUCACAUCUCACCCGCACCCUAAUUUAGGGUUUCGGAUUUAGGAUUUCGGAUUUUUUUAAACUCGUAGAGUUUAAAAGUGUGGGGGAGGAAGGAGGGGAUGACGUCAAGUCAGCACGGUGCUUAUGUCCAGGGCUACACACAUCCUACAAUGGCGAAUAACAACGAGUUUAGCGAGACAGUAAUGUUAAGCAAAUCUCUGAAAUUUCGCCUCAGUUCAGAUUGAGGGCUGCAACUCGCC